UCCUCUAGCUACAUAACAAAUAUAUUUCUUAUAAAAUGGGAAAGGAACAGGGAAGAAUGUAACACUUUAGGAUUUGCUACUAGGUUUUAUGUACAUACCUUGUAAGUUCUGUCUUAAUGUCCCAUUGGAGACAUAUUCGUAUACCAGCAUCUGCUCCCCUUGUUCAUAGCAAAAUCCUAGCAGACUUACCAGGUUCUUGUGGUGGACUCUGGAUAGCAACUCAAUCUCAUUUUUGAACUCCACUGCACCUUGCUUUGAUCCAUACUCUGCUCGUUUUAUGGCCACAUUUGUUCCAUCUACCAGUAUUGCCUUGUAAACCUUUCACAUGUGAAGAUGAAUCAUUUAUUAGCUGUCUAUGUAAAACUCCUUAAAAGGAACUCCAAUAAUGCAGAGGCUGGGAUAAUGUUUUAUUCCAUCAUCUAUUUUGUAUGCAUAGCUGUUUACCUUUCCAUAACCUCCUGAUCCUAUUUCAUUGUUCUCUGCAAAAUUGUUGGUGCAAGUCUUCAGUUCAUCAAAAGAAAAGAACCUUGCUCCUUUCAGCUGUGGAGCACCUCCACUGUCCUUUUUUGCAAUUCCCCAUGAAGCUAAAAUUUGAAUAUGGAUGAGGUAAAUAAUCAGUGAAGUUUUAGCAAACUACAGUUAUUUUGACCUUUUCUAUGCGUUAUUACUGCUUACAUGCAUCUGAACACUAUAUUUUUGUAGUUAGACACAUUUUCUGCUACAAUUUUGUAAGCUUUGAAAGACUGGGUAUUUAAAUAGGAUUCGAAAAUUGGAUGUUGGUUUGGCAUGCUGACCUAGUUAGUAUACAUAGCUGUGUCAAUUCUGUUGUAUAUGUUGAUCAUAUCUCUAAAUUACAGCCUAUCAGGCUACCAUUUAGUUAACUAACUUGAAUCCUGCUUAAUUACACUUCUAGGUAAUCUCAUAACAUGAUAAUAUGGAUAUUCUUAUAUGAAGUAAAAUUGUAUUUUUUGUACAAUCUAGCACCAAUAAGCUGUAUUUGUUAUACAUCUGGAAGUCUGUAACAGCUCUAGCAAACCAUUGGCACUCUAUACUGUUACAAUCCAUUCUCAUCAAAUAAAUGGCAUACAUGUUUCCCAUUUUUGCUUUAUCAAUGAGAGGUCAUGUAGACUUUUUUAUCUGGUUUUAUUAGUUUUAUAUCGGGGUGUCUUUCUCACUGGUUUUAUAUAUAUGUGUAUAGAUUUACUACAAAAUAAAGAACUUUAUUAAUUGGCGCAACCAUGGAAAACACAUUCUGAUAAUUUAAUGUUUUUCUUCUUAAAGAAAUGUUUGGUAGCUUUGAGAGCUAUACAGUUGUCAGCCAUAUUAUUUGGAAUCUCACCGAAAGGAUUUGUUUGUCCUGAUAAUUCCCUAGUUCUUCUCUUUUGUAAUAAACAAAAUAUUGCCCCAGAAGUUACAGCAAUCAGAAUAAGACCACAUGCUACUGCAAUUCCAGCGACAGCACCUGUGCUUACUUGCGAUUUUCCACCAUCAGCUGGUCCUGAGACAAGAUAGCCUAAUGUAUUUCAUGCAUGAUUACUUGCAUACAGACAUAAUUUUACAUGAUUAGAUUUGAUUAUUUUAAUACCUGCAAAGUGGACAUAUGGAUCUGCAACAAAGUAAUAAGGUCCAAAACCUUGUGGUGGCUUGUAAGUUUGAUUGCUAAGAUCAAAGCCUAUCCUCGUUACUUCUGACAAGUUAAAGGAUGUUCCAGUCGAUGGAAAUAGUCUGACUUGAACUUGGAGGUUAUCAUCACUGGUGAAGUGGAUAUCAGAAAGGAAAACUGAACCAUGUUGCAGUCCCAGCUCUGUUGAGAGGCUAGCUUCCAAUAGCUGAAAGUGCUCAUUGUCUCUCAAGUCUGCAAACAAUGGUGACCUGAAAAAAAUUUUACCCAUGUAGGGAUAGGCGCAGCCGCAAUUCGCAGGGUCUAGACUUUGAUCACUGGAACAAGAAACUGAACCACAAUGGGUUACACUAGUAGUGUAUGAUGUUAUGCUAUCUUGCUUGAUACUGCAAAAGGGGCUACUGGAGAAGUCAGGAUCCAAGCACACAGGAUUUCCCACAAGUCUGCCGAUAGAGGAAGAGACAAUUCUAGUGAGUAAAUGGGGACUAGAAGCAGCAUGUCGUCUUUGGUUUUGAAGCAUGCAAGUACUCACACUAGUGUUCUGUUGUAGCUUUGUGUUAUCUGGGCUGCAACUAUACGGUUGUUUAGCAGAUUGACUUGCUGCAGUUGUUGAGUGAUGCUGCCAGUCAUGUCAAGUGUCCCGUUGAAGGCAUUAUUGCUUAGAAUACUGUCUGAUCAGUGACAAAAAUAAGCAAACAUGUGAAACUUUGCUAGUUAUUAAAAUUUAUCUUGCUGUAUGUUUCCAGAAAAUUACACUUGCUGCAGUCUGGGCAAGGUAAAGAUCCUGUUGGGAAUCUGACCAUACAGUCCUCCAGAAGCUAUUGCUCUGCAUGUUAGGAUUUUACAAGGUGACAUUGUUUCACUAAAUGAGAAAAUAUAGUGCAGUGAGACUUGUAGUGCAUGUCUUAAACAACUCACACUGAAGCAAGUGUUUCCACUGUCAGCAUCCAGGUUGGUAUGGCAGACGGAUCAAAUGAAUUGUUGCUUAAAUCGCUGGGUGUGAAAAGAAAAUUCAUUAGUACUUGGCACCAUGUUUAUAUCUGAUGACAGUGCAGAAUAGAAGACAAGGGCGAUAUCUUACACCACAUUAAGUUUUGUCAGGGUACUGAGAUCUGGCAUUGUUCCAAGCAGCUGGUUGUCUGCAAAAUUCCUGCAGAAGAUAGUUAUUCAAAUGAAAUACACUGGAAACUCUUAACUUAUGCUUAUGUGUUGUCGUUUGACCGGGAGGUAAAAAUUGAUACAGCACUUACAGUACAUUUAGGUCAACUAGGUUGCUGAUAUUGGUUGGAACUGCUCCUGUGAAUUUAUUAUUGUCUAAUCGGCUGAUGAAGAUGCAAAGAAGUCAACAUUAAUGCUGAGAAUAUGUUUGGAAUAAAGAAAAAUGGCUAUAUACUCACAGAAUCUGGAGGGUGGUGAUGCUACCAAGUUCAGCAGGGAUAGAACCAGUCAAUUGGUUGUUGUCAAAUAAUCUUAUGAAGAUAAACAAAGUGGUCAGUACAAUACUUUAAUGUGUAAGCAUUACUGGCAUUAGAAAUUAGUGCUGCCUUACAUAUGUUCGAGUGUCAUGCUAGGGCUGAAGAGGCCGUCGAGAUUACCAGUUAAUUGGUUUCUACUGAAAUGGCUGUUAAUUGAUCGGAACAGAGUAUCAGCAUGGCAGGAGCACGAGUAAAAGCAUGCAUACUGAUCAUCCGUUCUUGAUUAAUGAGAGAUAAGAAAUGUUAGAGGAUCUUACAAAUGUUUGGUGUUUGUAAGUAGGUCAAGUCCUGGAGAAAUCGGAACAGGACCAGAAAGUUGAUUUUCUGACAAGUCUAGCCAGAAGAGGUUUUUGAGUAGGCCAAUUGAAGCGGGAAUUCUGCCUGAAAAUUUGUUUGAAUUCAUUGCCCUGCAGAGUAUAUUUCAUCGCUAGUCCAUUUCAUCAGUAUAGGCAAAGCAGCAGCAGUGAGGUAACAAGAACACUGAGUUGGGAUUAAGAUAUUCUCAGUGUAAUAAUUCUUACAAGAAUGAGAGCUGCACCAAGUUUCCUAAUUCUUCGGGAAUGCCUCCUGUGAAGCUGCAGCCAGCCAAGAUUCUGAAGAUCACAACGCAUUAGUGUAUGAUGAGCUGAACUGAAAUAACGAUGUCAAUGCUUUGGAAGCUCAGAUAACGACAUAGUUACUUCCAUUGUUUCUGCAGGGAAUGUGAGCUGUGAUAAGUUGCCUAUUUCUUCCGGGAUAUUCCCUGUGAACUUGCAUCCAAGCAAAAUCCUGAGAGAACCAAGAGUGGUGAGCUGCUUCAGAUUUCCAAUAUUUUGAGUAAGUCGACCCCCGAGGUUUUGGUUAUUAGACAGGUCCCUGCAUGUAGUUUAUGGCAGUAGCUUAAUGGAUGUUUUCUCUUUUGUUGAUCUCUAGGUAAACUGGUAGGUUGUACUAGCAUCUAACUGACUGUAGUUCUAUGUUGUGAUAAGAUUUCUUGAGAAAAUUCUUAAUUAUUAUUGUUAGUUCAAGUGAGUUAUUUUCAUUCCGAGGACAGGGGACUCACAGAUAUUUCAAAGCAGAUAGUUGGCCUAUGGCAUUGCUUAAUGUACCUUGCAGAUUCAUGCUUGCUAAUCUCCUGCAAACACCAGGUUUCAUCAGAGCAUUUGAUUAUUUGUUAAGAGAAGAAGUUUUAUUGAGCACUCACAUUUCUGUCACCCGACCAUUGGAACAGGAAAUUCCAACCCAGGAGGUGCAGGGAUCGGUUGAACCUGUCCAGCUUUCUGGUUCAUUUUUCCAAUUAUCCAUCAAAGCCUUAAGUGCAGCAACUGUAGAAAAUCAUUAAGCCAACAUCAGUUGCUCAUUUCUGCAUUAAUAACUCUAGUAGCUGAUUAGUUCUUAGGAUCGUAAAUUCAUGUGAGAGAAUAUAUGCAAGUACCAUUUCAAGGAAGUCAAAGAGAGUUAAGCCUAAGAAAGAAAAUAGCAAGAAAAAAACACUGUUCAGUGUUAAGCUUUAUGUUUUAUCAUGAGAACAUACUUCAUACAUAACCACGACUUUCUAAAUGUGAUCCAUUUGGUCUUGUGGAUUUGAUUACAUUACAGUUCUGCAUGACGUUGACUAAUGAACUGAUGCAAAAACAUUAAUUCAAAGGUAACACAAACUGACUUAUGCCGAAAAAAUCUUCUUGUUUUGUUGAAUAGAAAUAAUUCUAAAAAAUUGAAGACAGCCAAAUUUAAAAUGAACAAACUUUGAUGUAACUGAAUGAGGUUAAAUGUUUUUUAUCUGCUGGUAACUAAUGUUCAUUGUAAUCAAAACAUUCUCAGAUUAUCAUCCUGGUAGAACUAAUCUAGCUGAACAUUUUUUCAGGUCAACAGGGCACUCUGUGGAUAAUUCUAUCCUACAAAGAUGGCAGCAUGCUUCCUAUAUCCUGAUCAAAUGCAAAACAUCAAGGCUUACCAUCUUGGGAGUUCGUCUGACUGAAACUUGGCCGGAGGUAUACCAAGAGCAAGAACAGAAGUAGCAGCUGCUGCAUCGCCACCAUGACGUGCUCUUCUGGGUUAGGCCUCAACACAAGUUGCAGCAGACCAGAGCUAACUCUGAUGGCUAUCCUUGGAGAAGUCUAUGCAAUGAGCUAAUGGACAAGCGCUGCUACCAAAUGGCGCCGCUCUUCUUCCAGAGGUUGGAACCAGGCAAAGCAGAUAGUGUUUCAACCAAAACAAUCUUGCAUCACCCGAUUCAGAAGAAUCUCUCGUCAAUUAUUGCCUGGGCUGGUUAAUGGGUCCAAGCAAUGGAUAUGCUCAUAAGAACGCACGCGUGCAACCGUAUGGGAAGCCUUAAACAAGGCUACAAAGAGCUCAGUUGAACUGAUCAAAACAUGAAAUGGUUGAAGAAAAAUGUUUCUGUAUUCCUAGUUGGUAGUGGGGCAGUUGCUUCCUGUCCUCAACGGGGUAAAACCUUAAACAUUGCUUCUUUCUAAGCUUUGACCCGGUCAUGGUUAUUAGUUAACUAGAUUAAUACGGCCACAGGUUGGACAGUUGCGACAUAGGCCCACACUUCAGAAACGUGUUAUGCUGUGCAACUGCUGUAUUCUUUCCGUUGUGCAGGUAAGAGCCAGAGGAGAUGUGCAUUGGACCUGGGCCUGGCUGCUAGCUCUGAUGAUGUGGAUUUGGCGUCAUGACAAGGAUAUUACACACUAAAAGCUUCAAAGGAAUGUCAGAAAGAAUGUGCAGACGAUUGCACUGCUCUCCUGGAAUCCUUGGCAGUUUGCAAACGCUGCGGUUUAAACCUGGCUCUAACACAACGGGCUUAUCUAAACACAUUUGGAAGGGUCCGACUGUUCUUUUUCUUCUUCUUCUUGAGGGGAGGCGGCAAAUGAUUAUGCUAUUUGUUCACUAAUAGAAAAUGGGUCCGGAAGGCCAGGUUUUGGAUGCACAUGCUCAACUGGUUCCUUUGUCGGGAUUGCCGAAAGCUUGCCAGGCAGAUAAACUUUUGGUGCAUGCCAGAAAAUGCAGAUAGAGGACGGCUUGCAUGCACACAGAAGGUUCUUUCUGCACGGAGCCAAAGUGUGGCCGGCAGGCUGAUGCUUGCACUGGCCGAUGAAAGAUUUCUUGAAAGGAAUUGUCCGUCUUUUCUCUCCCGUUCCUUCAGUGCGUGAUUGCAAUUUUGUAUUAUUCUUGUUCGCCAUUGAGCCCGUCGUAUAUGUUGCCUUUGCAAAUGUUGGUGAACAGAGUUUGGCAGUAUCUUUCCCCCUUUUUUCGUUGUGGAUGAUGAAAUGCGGUUGUUGGGCGAUUCUUGGGCGGAAUAACGGUCAGAGGGAAAGCCAGAUGCCGUUUACUUCUCAUCUAAAAAACUUCAAUGUGUUUGGAACAA
Long non-coding RNA from Sorghum bicolor (sorghum), 6442 nucleotides. RefSeq lists it as uncharacterized. NCBI's taxonomy places the organism in Eukaryota, Viridiplantae, Streptophyta, Magnoliopsida, Poales, Poaceae. The transcript is spliced from 5 exons. The record is from RefSeq and is a predicted model, not a curated record.